CCUACGGGAGGCAGCAGUGAGGAAUAUUGGUCAAUGGGCGGGAGCCUGAACCAGCCAAGUCGCGUGAGGGAAGACGGUCCUACGGAUUGUAAACCUCUUUUGCCGGGGAGCAACGGGGUCCUUGCGAGGGCCCAAUGAGAGUACCCGGAGAAAAAGCAUCGGCUAACUCCGUGCCAGCAGCCGCGGUAAUACGGGGGAUGCGAGCGUUAUCCGGAUUUAUUGGGUUUAAAGGGUGCGUAGGCGGGCUGUUAAGUCAGCGGUCAAAUGUCGGGGCUCAACCCCGGCCUGCCGUUGAAACUGGAGGACGCGAGUGGGCGAGAGGUAUGCGGAAUGAGUGGUGUAGCGGUGAAAUGCAUAGAUAUCACGCAGAACUCCGAUUGCGAAGGCAGCAUACCGGCGCCCUACUGACGCUGAGGCACGAGAGCGUGGGUAUCGAACAGGAUUAGAUACCCGUGUAGUC
Molecule: ribosomal RNA, 460 nt
Filed under: uncultured bacterium
Lineage: Bacteria
Description: partial 16S ribosomal RNA
Rfam family: Bacterial small subunit ribosomal RNA
Source: RNAcentral